ACGUAGGGGGCAAGCGUUGUUCGGAAUUAUUGGGCGUAAAGGGCGCGUAGGCGGUUGACUAAGUUAGAUGUGAAAUCUCUAGGCUCAACCCGGGAAUUGCAUCUGAUACUGGUUAACUUGAGUACAGGAGAGGAAAGCGGAAUUCCAGGUGUAGCGGUGAAAUGCGUAGAUAUCAGGAGGAACACCAGUGGCGAAGGCGGUUUUCUGGUCUAAUACUGACGCUGAAGCGCGAAAGCGUGGGGAGCAAACAG
Molecule: ribosomal RNA, 251 nt
Filed under: uncultured prokaryote
Description: partial 16S rRNA
Rfam family: Bacterial small subunit ribosomal RNA
Source: RNAcentral